RNAcentral lists this ribosomal RNA (747 nucleotides) under uncultured Bacteroidota bacterium. Its description in RNAcentral is "bacterial SSU rRNA". It matches the Rfam family "Bacterial small subunit ribosomal RNA", at positions 67 to 807 of the family's 1533-position model. Lineage: Bacteria; Pseudomonadati; Bacteroidota. The record is from RNAcentral.
CGGUAACAGGAAGAGCUUGCUCUUCGCUGACGAGUGGCGCACGGGUGCGUAACGCGUAUGCAAUCUACCUCUAACUGGGGAAUAGCCCGAAGAAAUUCGGAUUAAUACUCCAUAGUAUUACGAAAAGGCAUCUUUUUGUGAUUAAAGUUUUUACGGUUAGAGAUGGGCAUGCGUCCCAUUAGUUUGUUGGUGAGGUAACGGCUCACCAAGGCUACGAUGGGUAGGGGGCCUGAGAGGGUAAUCCCCCACACUGGUACUGAGACACGGACCAGACUCCUACGGGAGGCAGCAGUGAGGAAUAUUGCGCAAUGGACGAAAGUCUGACGCAGCCAUGCCGCGUGCAGGAAGAAUGCCCUACGGGUUGUAAACUGCUUUUGUACGGGAAGAAACCCCUCUACGUGUAGAGGGCUGACGGUACCGUACGAAUAAGCACCGGCUAACUCCGUGCCAGCAGCCGCGGUAAUACGGAGGGUGCAAGCGUUGUCCGGAUUUAUUGGGUUUAAAGGGUACGUAGGCGGAUGCUUAAGUCAGUGGUGAAAGCCUGCGGCUCAACCGUAGGAUUGCCUCUGAUACUGAGUAUCUUGAGUGCGGUAGAGGUGGGCGGAAUUCAUGGUGUAGCGGUGAAAUGCAUAGAUACCAUGAGGAACACCGAUAGGGAAGCCAGCUCACUGGACCGUAACUGACGCUAAGGUACGAAAGCGUGGGGAGCCAACAGGAUUAGAUACCCUGGUAGUCCACGCUGUAAAC